UGUGCAGACGUGCUCUGGGAAACCCUGCCCCACAGUCAGGAAUUGUUAUUGUUACUGGAAGUGAUUAGCAGCAGACAUGGUUUCAUCGCCCUCCUAAGAGACGGUGCCUGAGCCCAGAGGAUCCUGGGAAACGGCCGACCGGAGGUGCACCGAGGAGGGCCAUGUGCAGGGAGAGGUAAGGCUGCGGCUUAGCGUGGGGGAAACCUUAGGCUCCGCAAAUAUUUAGCUUGUCGCCCAGAGCUGGGCGGAGACCUACCUGUGCUGGGAGGCUCUGCAGAGGCCAGCCCAGUGCCCUGCUCUCUCCCCGGAAGCCCUCUUGUGCACCACUUGGCUCCCCCUGGAAAAGGAGGGAUCCCCACUCUCCUGUCUCCCUCAUCUGCAGGAAAUCAGGAUCUAGACAAAUGCCUGGAGCUGUGUGCAGAGGUGCAUGAGGAGCAUAGAGAGGAGGCAGGAAAGAGGAGCCGAGCAGAGGUCCCUGACUUUUUAGACCUGGGAAUUCAUCGAUUCUGCACAACCUCCCAAGAAGCAGUGCCUCAGAGAGGUCAAGCAACCUGCCAGAGGUCACACAGCUAGGCAUUGGCUUCAGAAAAGAAGGAUGAAAGGAUGAGCUACCAAGGGUCAGCUCUGAGCUGGGGGCAGUGGUGUGAGGAACAAGGGAAGGAACUGGUAUUUACUGAGCAUCUACUAUCUGCCACUCCAUGUGGGCACUUUUCUUAUUGACCAAGUAUUGUUCUUGAAUUGUUCUUAAUGCAGAAACUUGGGUGUUUUGAACUCUGUUUUGUUUUUCUUGAGUGCUUUCCUUGCUCUCCAAGCCACAUGUCAACACAGUGAGCUGCUGGGAAAGGUAAUCUCAGUCAUUCGCAGACAUUCUCAGGGCUGCCGUCCAAGGCCCAUGCACAUAUCCUCAGUCUGGGGGCAGCCUAAGUCCUGCAGUAGGGACGGAGUCUCAUCAGUGCGGAGUCCUUGCUGGAUGAGAUGCGUGGUCCUGAGGGGUCCCUGCGGGACAGGAAGCCCUGAUUAGGGUUUCUCUGGCAAGGGCCUAAAUCCCCGCGAUGUUCCACCUGUGGACAGUUGUCAGGGACAGUUGUCAAGGACUCUGGAACCAGACGGUGCAGGCUCACACUCCAGCUCUACCACCCACAGCGGCGCAGACUCGGUAACUGGCUUAAUCUCUCUCUGCCUCCCUCUCUAGGAAAUGGAAAUUUAAAAAUAGGGUAAGAGUUAAAUGGACGUAAGUCACUUAGAAGAGGGCCCGCCCAGAGGAGCCUGAGUCGGGAACAGGCAGAAGCUUCUCACGGGUUCUCUUCUCUCUUCUCUCCUGCUCCUCCGUGACACCUGGCAACGGGUGCCCAGGUGCGGGGAGGGUGGGGGGCAGGAUGUCCGCCCAGUGCUCCCUGGGGUUUCCAUCACUUUGAUAUCGAUGCGAAUCACCCGUUAGACCAAGGACUGACCUCAGCAGCUCCUGCCCUAACAGACGGGAAAGGAAAUGGGGAAGCACAGGAAGAGGAGGUGCAGGUCCCGAGUCCAGGGCAGGUGGAAUGAGGAGGCACAGGUGCGUCCCGCCGGCCUCCAGGGUCUCCCUUGACUUAGAGGCCCCUGGCCUCGCCUCUGCUGGCCUGCCCGCCCUGCAGCCUCCUGUAUUUGUCCGGUUCUCCCUCUCUGACCACCCGCUGUCCCAAGCCCUUCCAGCCCUGGGUCAAAGUCCUCCAGCCAAGUCGGACCCCAGGUCCCGGAGUUUUCCACCUGUUGAGUGGAUCAGGACCCCGUCCCACGGAGGAGCCAUGAUUUGUCUGGGGUCCCCCAAUGAGGCAAGGGCAGAAAGAGGACCCAGGUUUGCUGACCCCCACCCCAUCCUGUGCGCUUGCCCAGAUGAGCUCACAGAGUCCAGACCAGCAGCUGUCACCAAGGGGUGACAGCUUCCCUCAGAGGACAUUUGACAAUGUCCGGUGACAAUUUCAGUUGACACCACUGGAGGUGGCGACUGGCGUUCAGUGGGUGGAGACCAAGGAUGCUGCUAAACAUCCUGCAACGCUCAGCGGAGUCCCGUGCUGCAGGGAAGGACCUGGCCCCAAACAGCAGUGGGCUGGGGACCCCGGCCAGCCUCACACGUGGCAUUGAACCUUGCAAAGAUUACUUAACGGGUUCCCCUCCCGUGAAAGGACACCAUCACACUACCCGGUGCACAGAAUUUGGGAGUGUUUAACGACCUAAUGCGUGUCCAUUGCUGCACCUACCACCUGGCAGGGGACCAGCUGACUCUGACGAAUGGGGGAAGGGAUGGAGGCACCCACUGAGGUGUCCGUGGGGUGGCUCCCGAUGGCGUCCCACACCAAACUCCAAGAAGUGCACACAAGUGGAGUGGCACACUCAUGUCUAAUAGAGUUUCGAGUCUCCGUCCCCCUCCCCUCCCUCUGCAUUUGAGACUUGGAGUGUUCAUUUAAACAGAGAAACCGCAUUACCUGAUCUCCACGCAGAUCUGAGUUUCCAUUUUAAUUUGCCUUCAUUAUCUCUUUCUCUUAUUAAGAACAGUAAAUCUGUUUUGUGUUUUCAUUAUUCCAUUAGCUCGAGGAAGCUCAUCAGUAAUGUGGGGAGCUGCCAACACAAAUAGCACAAUUUUCAUACAAGCAAUGCAAUAAUUGACUUAAAUCGCUAUUCUGCAGAGGCCAUGGCUCACAAUUAAAGAAAGCAGCGUGGUUUGAAAACGAGUUACAAUUGAUUGGAUUUCAGGGGAAACCAGGUUUGGAAUGUGUUAAUUGCAUUCCGCCUAAACACCAGGUCUAAAUGAAGCAGCCAGAGAUUUGGGGAAAUAACAAAAUCUUCUCUAGCAACAGCCCCAAAUUGCUUAAUAGGCUGGGAGAGAUGUGAUUAAGACGGGGGGCUAAUGACUUCACUGUAUUUCGGGGGUGACAAGCUGAAAUUCUCCUCGUGGAAACUCCCCAGAGAGGAGGGCACACUUGGAGCUCUUUCAUGACGGGGCUGGGUUCCGGAGUCAGACGUCCCUGCCACCUGCUUCUGGACCUUCUUUUCCCUCUCAAACCGACAGUGACGCUCCAAGAUCAUGUGGGCUGCAGUCUCAAGACGCAUCUGGCCUUCUGCCCUAUUGCCACCGGGGCCCGGCUACUGGAGUCACCUCCCCACGGGUCUCCUGGGUUCCGUCUUGCCCCUGACACUCUCUUCUUGGUCUGCCUGUCAGAGUCCUGUCAGAACUGGCCAGACCCUGUCCCACCUGUGCUCAACCCUCCAAUAGCCUCCAAACCCUGUGGGGGUUAUGAGGUCAUAUGCAAUCUGCCCAUCAACUCACGGACCCCCUCAGUCACCAGGGAUGCCCAAGGUCCUUGGUGAUCUGCCCAGGUUUCCAGUCUCCUCUCUCAUCCCAGCCACCCAGGAUUGCUUACAAACCCCUGACGGUCCCAUGCUCUGCCUUGUCACAGAAUCUAGAAUAUCCUGUCCCAUCUCAGUCACCUGAGUCAUUCCUAAGGCCCCCCCCCUUGCCCAGAUCUUACUGGGUUCAUGACCCCCUUCUCAUGCUAAUCGUCCUCUUGAAGUUCUGAGAAAUUCUGGAUUAAAAAGUUUGCAGAAAACUAUUGUUUUGUGUGACUCGUGAUCCCAGACUCUGGGUUUCUAGACUUUCCCCUCCUCCCCGUGCCCCAGCGGCACAGAUAGAGCAGGACCAGGCACCCUGUGUCCUGGUACCUACUUCCUGAUCCCACCUGAUUGGUCCAAAGUGGACCAAUCAAAUUCCUUCCCUGGGAAUCCGACUGUAGCAUCCAGAUUUGAAUCUUGAUCCUGUGGCCCUUUCUCAUCUCUCUGCCAUUCAUUCUCUCCCUCUUUUCCUCCUUUUGCUUAAUUUUUAAUUCAUAAUUUUAUAUAAAGGAUGUAAAUGAUGGUAUGUUUGGUCCCCCUGUUCCUAUUGUUCCCCUCUUUUAUCCACCUCAUCCCUGUGACCUGGUGCUAGAGACCCAUGUUAACAACCCUUUCAAAAAUAUUUUUGUUUACACUGACAUCUCUAUCUGUGUUGUAGGACAAUAAAC
Molecule: long non-coding RNA, 4031 nt
Filed under: Marmota monax (woodchuck)
Lineage: Eukaryota; Metazoa; Chordata; Mammalia; Rodentia; Sciuridae
Source: RNAcentral